AAAGGGACGCGCGCUUACCCGGUUCUGACUGCGGGCCUGGGAGUAUGGAUCUCAGCUGCGGCCUGGCUCUUUCUCUCAGCUGUCGGCCCCCGAGUUUAACGCUAUACAUCUGUCCCUCCCAGACCAUGAGAGGAUGGUUGACUUCUCUUUCCAGGUGCCGCCUUUCACUUCCUCUCACCUCGAGUUAGUUCAGGGCUUUUUGUUUUUUUGCAUUUUGGGACAAGUAGGAAGACAGAAUUUCAAGGUGGACAUCGUGGAUUACAAUUGCACAAAGUAGAGGCUGGCUUCUUUGUGGAGAGUCCAGAUGCAGCUGACUUUGUCCCUCUGGGGCUACGUGGUAUCUUCUCGCAGCACCUCUCACCUACUUUACUCUUCUCUUUGAACACUGGAUUCCUAUAACUGUUCCAGAAUGAAAGCCUCGGCCCCAUGUCUCUUUGACCUUCCAGUUUGAUCCGUGUAGCAAACCGUUUCGCAGCACGAGUUUUCUGGAAGAGAAUUCCGAUUGGUCACACAUGGGUGCCAUUCAUUCGAGGGACAGUGACCAAUGACAUCCAUUAUGCACGGCCAUGAAUAUUUAUCUAGUGCCUUAUCCCUGUACCAGAGAGAAUAGGAAAAGAGUUAUGAAGAGGCUUUUCUUCCACACCAGAUGACCAGUGUCCUUCCUCAGCUCAACUGAGAAAAUUAAGUGGACUGGUCUUCAGGGUGUGAACUCCAGGAUGUGGUCCUUGUCUUUCUCUUGCCUGCCACAGAGUAGGUGUCAUAAGUGUGUGUUAAAGGAUGGACUCUCCCUUUUCUUCCCUACAUGUGCAUACAUCCAAAGGAAAUCAGGGCAAACCCACAUUUGGAACAAACUUAAAUGGAUUCAGACUCCUUAGAAGAACACCUAUGCUAAUCACACCUUGCUGUUUGGCUCUGCAUUAACUGCCUCCAGGAUCUUAUGUCUCAGAAGGAGAUUC
Molecule: non-coding RNA, 956 nt
Organism: Delphinapterus leucas (beluga whale)
Lineage: Eukaryota; Metazoa; Chordata; Mammalia; Artiodactyla; Monodontidae
Source: RefSeq, a predicted model, not a curated record